CAUUCCUGGCUCUCUGGAUUUUAUUUUUUUUAUUUCUACGGAACAUCUCCAAACGGCGUUCCGUCCAUGGCAUGAGUGACACACUACACUCGGCGGUUCCGCCUCCCUCUGCUCGCCAUUCGAGCGGAUUCCAUGGCCACAGACGACGGCGGCGCGCUGCCGCUGGUGCCGGCACCCGCUCCGGGCCAGGUCUACCUGCUCGCGUGGCGCCGCGUGUACGACCGCCUCGUGACGAUGCUGCGCCAGGCGUACGCGCAGGUCGAGGACCUCUCCAAUCGAGCGCGAGCACCUCAUCACCGAGCUCCAGUUCCUGCAGAGCGGCCGCCGCGAGCGUGAGGUGAUCUUCCAGGCCCGCCUCCAGCCGAUCUGUAAGCACGAGGAGCUCCGCAAGAGAGUCGGUGAGGCUGAGACGGCGGCGCGUCUUGGCGGCAGGGAGCUUCAGAUUCACUUGUACAAGAAGCUCACAGAACUUUCUGAGGAUGAUUUGGAGGUCUUCAAAAGUUGUAUUUUGAAUUUGGUUGCUGAAAAUACUAAGCUAAAGGAAAAACUGAAGAAGUUUGAAAGUCAGAUGGAGAUUGAGAGUUAAGCCUAAGUGCUUCUCUCUAAGUUAUCUAGUUACCUGUCUAUCUAGCUUCUAUCUUAGCAUCUAGAAUAUGCUUAGCAUCUACUUUAGUAGUUAGAAUAUGCCGUGUCACCUGUGCUCCUCCCGCCAAAUUUCAGUGUUCCAAGGCUAAAGACCCCAGCUCCUCCCUAAAAGGAUGAAACCACUGGCAGCUGUAGCCUGAUGUGCUGACAAUUGAAGCUGUCCCAACACGCCCUUCACUGACAUCAGGUGAGGCUAAGCUUAUCAGUUACCGCUGCAGGUUUGACUCAAUUGCAAAGCACGAAAGCAGCAUUGUAUAGUCGACUAAACUAACUGUGUUUGUAACAUAUUUCUUCUCUCAUCUCUGUUGGAGAGCUUGCAACAUAUAUGUUGGUCGUUGCUGGGCAACAGAGACGGAAGGUGUCCAUGUGUGUUGUUUUAUGUAGCUUAUCACUUGCUGCUCGCUUGCCCAGCAUAUCUGUUGGUGUGUGUUAAGGCAUGAUCCCCAUGGCUUUGCUGGUAGAACAUACUAACACCAGAGUGUACCACCGUUGGCCUCGUGUACUGCUGGUACUGGUUGCUUCAGCCUUUCUGUACUGAUCUGUUGUCUGUGAAUGGAUGGAUGCUGAACACUUGAGUUUAUAGGGCCAUAAAUUAUUCAUAAAUAUGAAGAUGCAAAGUUAAUUCUGUUAA
This is a long non-coding RNA of Sorghum bicolor (sorghum), 1276 nucleotides long. RefSeq lists it as uncharacterized. The transcript has 4 exons. The record is from RefSeq and is a predicted model, not a curated record. Lineage: Eukaryota; Viridiplantae; Streptophyta; Magnoliopsida; Poales; Poaceae.